ACGCGAAGAACCUUACCUACCCUUGACAUGCCAGGAACUUGCCAGAGAUGGCUUGGUGCCCGAAAGGGAGCCUGGACACAGGUGCUGCAUGGCUGUCGUCAGCUCGUGUCGUGAGAUGUUGGGUUAAGUCCCGCAACGAGCGCAACCCUUGUCAUUAGUUGCCAUCAUUAAGUUGGGCACUCUAAAGAGACUGCCGGUGAUAAACCGGAGGAAGGUGGGGACGACGUCAAGUCCUCAUGGCCUUUAUGCCCAGGGCUACACACGUGCUACAAUGGAUCGGACAAAGGGUCGCGAACCCGCGAGGGGGAGCCAAUCCCAAAAAUCGGUCCUCAGUUCGGAUUGGAGUCUGCAACUCGACUCCAUGAAGUUGGAAUCGCUAGUAAUCGUGGAUCAGCAUGCCACGGUGAAUACGUUCCCGGGCCUUGUACACACCGCCCGUCACACCACGAAAGCCGGAUGUACCAGAAGUCGCUGGCCCAACCCUUCGGGGAGGGAGGCGCCUAAGGUAAUGGUCGGUGAUUGGGGUGAAGUCGUAACAAGGUAGCCGUAGGGGAACCUGCGGCUGGAUCACCUCCUU
RNAcentral lists this ribosomal RNA (577 nucleotides) under uncultured bacterium GR-WP54-9. RNAcentral's name for it is "bacterial SSU rRNA". It matches the Rfam family "Bacterial small subunit ribosomal RNA", at positions 959 to 1532 of the family's 1533-position model. The record is from RNAcentral.